CGGGUGCACUGAUCCGGCCGGGCCUUUCCCUCUGUGGAACCCCAUGGCCUUCACUGGCUGUGCGGGGGAAACAGGACUUUUACUGUGAAAAAAUUAGAGUGCUCCAGGCAGGCCUAUGCUCGAAUACAUUAGCAUGGAAUAAUAGAAUAGGACGCGUGGUUCUAUUUUGUUGGUUUCUAGGACCGCCGUAAUGAUUAAUAGGGACAGUCGGGGGCAUCAGUAUUCAAUUGUCAGAGGUGAAAUUCUUGGAUCUAUUGAAGACUAACUACUGCGAAAGCAUUUGCCAAGGAUGUUUUCAUUGAUAAGGAACGAAAGUUAGGGGAUCGAAGACGAUCAGAUACCGUCGUAGUCUUAACCACAAACGAUGCCGACUAGAGAUCGGGCUUGACUAUUGAGGCUUGCUCGGGAUCUUAGCGAAAGCAAAGUUUUUGGGUUCUGGGGGGAGUACGGCUCGCAAGGCUGAAACUUAAAGGAAUUGACGGAAGGGCACCACCAGGAGUGGAGCCUGCGGCUUAAUUUGACUCAACACGGGGAAACUCACCAGGUCCAGACAUAAUAAGGAUUGACAGAUUGAAAGCUCUUUCUAGAUUUUAUGGGUGGUGGUGCAUGGCCGUUCUUAGUUCGUGGAGUGAUUUGUCUGGUUAAUUCCGAUAACGAACGAGACCUUAUUCUGCUAAUUAGCUGGGCCAACUUUUUAGUUGGUAGUUUCUAGAUUUCGGUCUAGC
This 725-nucleotide ribosomal RNA is filed under the name uncultured eukaryote. Its description in RNAcentral is "bacterial SSU rRNA". It matches the Rfam family "Eukaryotic small subunit ribosomal RNA", at positions 670 to 1407 of the family's 1831-position model. The record is from RNAcentral.